UGUACUUUUUCAGCAUGUUGGGUUACUUUUUACCCAAAGUUGGGUAAAUAACUUUGAGCCACAAGACUGGAUUUAGGCGGGCUGAAAAGUUGAAGCCAUUUUUGACAGUUUUGUUGUGUACUGAAGAUGAAAUAAAUUUAAUGUCAAAUAUUGGUGGUAUAACUAGAUGGCUCUGUGCCUAACAUCUGUGACUUGGACACAGGGGAUUGGGGUUAAAAUUGUGCCCACGGUGAAUGGCCCACCCAUGGAAAAUGAGUUGGUUAUGCCGGGGAGGGGGUGGGGGGCAUCCGGUGUAAGAACUGUGCCAAACGUUUUAUGUCAGCGAUUCGCCGCGGUAGCCCCUAACAGGGAAAGGUUGCUCUUUCUUCUUCUAAGAAAAAGUUGUUCAUAAAGUUGUAUUAUUUUUAUCAACAGCUAUACGAACAACCUGAUAACCAGUUUCUUGGUAGUGUUAACUGAUCAGUUUAGGAAGUUUUUACCCCUUCGCUAUUUCACCAAAUUUGGGUUACUUUUGACCCAGCGGGUUUAUGAGUGUAUUUGUGUGCCUUUUCAUUCUUACAUGCUAUCAAUAACGCACAGCUCAGUCAGUGUCACCAUAAGGUGUCUUUGAGACUUCCUCAUUUCACAAAAUAAAAGUUGGGGAUUUUCCCAGUGGACAUAAACACCAUCACGGUAAGCAAACUCCCCUCCCACUAAAAGCAACAGGACAGUCUGCGAGGCUUGCCCGAUCACUACAUGGCUGCAUGAUCAUGCCUUGUGAGGGUCUAUUUCCCCCAAGCGUGUGUGUGUGCGCGCGUGCGCUGCAUGCCACAUUCCUCACAUGCAGAGUGGCGGAAAGGGCAGUGGCCCCUCAUCGGCAGAGGUGUAUGGAAAAGGGGAGCGUGAGGAGGGAGAGUGUGCAGACGCAACGCGAUUGAUGGAAGAGGCCAGACGGCCACAUGACGAGGCAAACAGGAUCGAGUGUCUACUUGUGUCCAGUGAUCGGUGAUCAGCACCAUACAGAUCUUUCUCCGUCUCAACCACAUGGAUGGGCAUGAUACCAGUCUUGCAGCUGGAGCACCCACCCCUCCCCGCCCGCGCAUCUUUCAAGUGGUGCCGUGGGCCGACAGCAAAUCACCACCAGGACACCUGACCUGCAUUUGCGCUCGAGUGUACACCAAAGAUGCAUGCUCACCUUCGACUGCGCUUAGACGAUGUUCAUUCCAUUUCACUAGCUUAUUCUUUGAGAUCAAGGAAAAAGAUGAAGAUGCAUUAAAGCAUUUAACUGUUAAUGAUUUUUUU
Molecule: long non-coding RNA, 1281 nt
Organism: Hippocampus comes (tiger tail seahorse)
Lineage: Eukaryota; Metazoa; Chordata; Actinopteri; Syngnathiformes; Syngnathidae
Exons: 2
Source: RefSeq, a predicted model, not a curated record